UUUCCCUCAGGAUAGCUGGCGCUCUUGCACACCCACCCUGACGCGAUGCAGUUUUAUCUGGUAAAGCAAAUGAUUAGAGGUCUUGGGGCCAAAACAAUCUCAACCUAUUCUCAAACUUUAAAUGGGUAAGAAGGCCGGCUCGCUGGUGUGGAGCCGGGUGUGGAAUGCGAGUGCCU
This 176-nucleotide non-coding RNA is filed under the name Erinaceus europaeus (western European hedgehog). RNAcentral's name for it is "Eukaryotic large subunit ribosomal RNA". It matches the Rfam family "Eukaryotic large subunit ribosomal RNA", at positions 967 to 1124 of the family's 3401-position model. The record is from Rfam by way of RNAcentral. Lineage: Eukaryota; Metazoa; Chordata; Mammalia; Eulipotyphla; Erinaceidae.